This 460-nucleotide long non-coding RNA is filed under the name Homo sapiens (human). RNAcentral's name for it is "HSALNT0070773". Lineage: Eukaryota; Metazoa; Chordata; Mammalia; Primates; Hominidae. The record is from RNAcentral.
CCCCCUUGGAUCCCCUUCCACACUGUGGGAGGUUUGUUCUUUUGCUCUUUGCAAUAAAGCUUGCUGCUGCUCACUCUUUGGGUCCAGACUGUCUUUAUGAGCUAUAACACUCACCGGGAAGGUCUGCAGCUUCACUCCUGAAGCCAAGGAGACCACGAACCCACCGGGAGGAAGGAACAACUACAGACACGCCGGCUUAAGAGCUGUAGCACUCACUGCGAAGGUCCGCAGCUUCACUCUUGAGCCAGAGACCACGAACCCACCAGAAGGAAGAAACUCCAAACACAUCCGAACAUCAGAAGGAAAAAACUCCAGACACGCCGCCUUUAAGAACUGCAACACUGCGAGGGUCCGCGGCUUCAUUCUUGAAGUCAGUGAGACCAAGAACCCACCAAUUCCAGACACACUACCAAAGGCAGAGGGGAGCUCCUAGACAAAGAUGUCGGCACCAUACCCUUGG